RNAcentral lists this ribosomal RNA (468 nucleotides) under Euglandina rosea. RNAcentral's name for it is "partial 16S ribosomal RNA". It matches the Rfam family "Bacterial large subunit ribosomal RNA", at positions 1806 to 2610 of the family's 2925-position model. Lineage: Eukaryota; Metazoa; Mollusca; Gastropoda; Stylommatophora; Spiraxidae. The record is from RNAcentral.
AUCAAAAACAUAGCUUAAUGUGCUUUAUAUUAGGUUAAUUCUGCUCAGUGAACUAAGUUUUAACAGCCGCAGUACACUGACUGUGCUAAGGUAGCAUAAUAAGUUGGCUUAUAAUUGAAGUCUAGUAUGAACGAAAUUUAAUGGGUGGUAACUGUCUCUUUAUUUUUUUACUGAACUUACUUAGAUGGUGAAAAUUCCAUCAGUUAAGAAGAAAGACGAGAAGACCCUUAGAAUUUUUAUUAAAGUGAUUUCUUUUCAUUUGUAUUAGCUGGGGCGGCUUUGUGUCAAUUUUAACACACAUUUUUUUAAAUUAAAACAUAAAAAUUUUAUUUUAUUAGGUUAAUUACCUAAGGGAUAACAGCAUAAUCUUUUUUUGGUUUGUGACCUCGAUGUUGGAUUAGGAUCUGCUCUGGUUAGCCGCCAAAGCAGAAAGUUCUGUUCGAACUGUAUCACCUACAUGAUCUGAGU